RNAcentral lists this ribosomal RNA (894 nucleotides) under Acrobeloides bodenheimeri. RNAcentral's name for it is "bacterial SSU rRNA". It matches the Rfam family "Eukaryotic small subunit ribosomal RNA", at positions 81 to 968 of the family's 1831-position model. The record is from RNAcentral. Lineage: Eukaryota; Metazoa; Nematoda; Chromadorea; Rhabditida; Cephalobidae.
AGGGGGCUGCUUGGCUCAAGAUUAAGCCGAAAGCAUUUGCCAAGAAAGGGCUGCUUGUUUCAAGAAUAACCCGAAAGAUUUUUGCGAAAAUGGGAGAGCUAAUACAUGCAUUAAAGCUCUGACCUCACGGGAAGAGUGCAUUUAUUAGAACAAAACCAAGCGGCUUCGGCUGUUUCUGGUUGACUCAUAGUAACUGAGCUGAUCGCAUGGUCUUGCACCGGCGACGUGUCUUUCAAGUAUCUGCCGUAUCAACUUUCGAUGGUAGUGUAUCUGACUACCAUGGUGAUCACGCGUAACGGAGAAUAAGGGUUCGGCUCCGGAGAGUUCGCCUGAGAAAUCGCGAACACAUCUAAGGAAGGCAGCAGGCGCGAAAAUUACCCACUCUCAGCACGAGGAGGUAGUGACGAAAAAUAACGAGACCGUUCUCUUUUGAGGCCGGUCAUCGGAAUGGGUACAAUUUAAACCCUUUAACGAGUAUCUAUGAGAGGGCAAGUCUGGUGCCAGCAGCCGCGGUAAUUCCAGCUCUCAAAGUGCAUAGAAUUAUUGCUGCGGUUAAAAAGCUCGUAGUUGGAUCUGUGCCAUAGGACGGGGUCUACCUUCGGGUACGUACUCCGCUCCUAGGCUUUUUGCUGGUUUUCCCGUCGUAGCCUUCACUGGUUGCGGCGGGUGGCUGGCGAGUUUACUUUGAGAAAAUCAAAGUGCUCAACACAGGCGUAUCGCUUGAAUGAUUGUGCAUGGAAUAAUAGAAAAGGAUUUCGGUCCUCUUUUAUUGGUUUUGUGGACUGAGAUAAUGGUUAACAGGGACAAACGGGGGCAUUCGUAUCGCUGCGUGAGAGGUGAAAUUCUUGGACCGUAGCGAGACGCCCUACUGCGAAAGCAUGGCCCAAAAAAGGA